Molecule: ribosomal RNA, 407 nt
Filed under: uncultured bacterium
Lineage: Bacteria
Description: partial 16S ribosomal RNA
Rfam family: Bacterial small subunit ribosomal RNA
Source: RNAcentral
GAUGAACGCUAGCUAUAGGCUUAACACAUGCAAGUCGAGGGACCGGCGCACGGGUGAGUAACGCGUAUACAACCUGCCCAUAACUAAGGGAUAACCCAGCGAAAGUUGGACUAAUACCAUAUGGUUAUGGAUGGGGAUGCGUUUGAUUAGCGUGUUGGUGAGGUAACGGCCCACAAAGCCUUCGAUGGAUAGGGGUUCUGAGAGGAAGGUCCCCCACAUUUGAACUGAGACACGGUCCAAACUCCUACGGGAGGCAGCAGUGAGGAAUAUUGGUCAAUGGGCUCUAGCCUGAACCAGCCAAGUAGCGUGAAGGAUGAAGGCUUAUGGGUCGUAAACUUCUUUUAGAUAAGAAUAUGUAUUAUAUGAAUAAGGAUCGGCUAACUCCGUGCCAGCAGCCGCGGUAAUAC